GGGUUGUGAGGUUAAGCGACUAAGCGUACACGGUGGAUGCCCUGGCAGUCAGAGGCGAUGAAGGACGUGCUAAUCUGCGAUAAGCGUCGGUAAGGUGAUAUGAACCGUUAUAACCGGCGAUUUCCGAAUGGGGAAACCCAGUGUGAUUCGUCACACUAUCAUUAACUGAAUCCAUAGGUUAAUGAGGCGAACCGGGGGAACUGAAACAUCUAAGUACCCCGAGGAAAAGAAAUCAACCGAGAUUCCCCCAGUAGCGGCGAGCGAACGGGGAGCAGCCCAGAGCCUGAAUCAGUGUGUGUGUUAGUGGAAGCGUCUGGAAAGGCGUGCGAUACAGGGUGACAGCCCCGUACACAAAAAUGCACAUGCUGUGAGCUCGAUGAGUAGGGCGGGACACGUGGUAUCCUGUCUGAAUAUGGGGGGACCAUCCUCCAAGGCUAAAUACUCCUGACUGACCGAUAGUGAACCAGUACCGUGAGGGAAAGGCGAAAAGAACCCCGGCGAGGGGAGUGAAAAAGAACCUGAAACCGUGUACGUACAAGCAGUGGGAGCACGCUUAGGCGUGUGACUGCGUACCUUUUGUAUAAUGGGUCAGCGACUUAUAUUCUGUAGCAAGGUUAACCGAAUAGGGGAGCCGAAGGGAAACCGAGUCUUAACUGGGCGUUAAGUUGCAGGGUAUAGACCCGAAACCCGGUGAUCUAGCCAUGGGCAGGUUGAAGGUUGGGUAACACUAACUGGAGGACCGAACCGACUAAUGUUGAAAAAUUAGCGGAUGACUUGUGGCUGGGGGUGAAAGGCCAAUCAAACCGGGAGAUAGCUGGUUCUCCCCGAAAGCUAUUUAGGUAGCGCCUCGUGAAUUCAUCUCCGGGGGUAGAGCACUGUUUCGGCAAGGGGGUCAUCCCGACUUACCAACCCGAUGCAAACUGCGAAUACCGGAGAAUGUUAUCACGGGAGACACACGGCGGGUGCUAACGUCCGUCGUGAAGAGGGAAACAACCCAGACCGCCAGCUAAGGUCCCAAAGUCAUGGUUAAGUGGGAAACGAUGUGGGAAGGCCCAGACAGCCAGGAUGUUGGCUUAGAAGCAGCCAUCAUUUAAAGAAAGCGUAAUAGCUCACUGGUCGAGUCGGCCUGCGCGGAAGAUGUAACGGGGCUAAACCAUGCACCGAAGCUGCGGCAGCGACACUGUGUGUUGUUGGGUAGGGGAGCGUUCUGUAAGCCUGCGAAGGUGUGCUGUGAGGCAUGCUGGAGGUAUCAGAAGUGCGAAUGCUGACAUAAGUAACGAUAAAGCGGGUGAAAAGCCCGCUCGCCGGAAGACCAAGGGUUCCUGUCCAACGUUAAUCGGGGCAGGGUGAGUCGACCCCUAAGGCGAGGCCGAAAGGCGUAGUCGAUGGGAAACAGGUUAAUAUUCCUGUACUUGGUGUUACUGCGAAGGGGGGACGGAGAAGGCUAUGUUGGCCGGGCGACGGUUGUCCCGGUUUAAGCGUGUAGGCUGGUUUUCCAGGCAAAUCCGGAAAAUCAAGGCUGAGGCGUGAUGACGAGGCACUACGGUGCUGAAGCAACAAAUGCCCUGCUUCCAGGAAAAGCCUCUAAGCAUCAGGUAACAUCAAAUCGUACCCCAAACCGACACAGGUGGUCAGGUAGAGAAUACCAAGGCGCUUGAGAGAACUCGGGUGAAGGAACUAGGCAAAAUGGUGCCGUAACUUCGGGAGAAGGCACGCUGAUAUGUAGGUGAAGUCCCUCGCGGAUGGAGCUGAAAUCAGUCGAAGAUACCAGCUGGCUGCAACUGUUUAUUAAAAACACAGCACUGUGCAAACACGAAAGUGGACGUAUACGGUGUGACGCCUGCCCGGUGCCGGAAGGUUAAUUGAUGGGGUCAGCGCAAGCGAAGCUCUUGAUCGAAGCCCCGGUAAACGGCGGCCGUAACUAUAACGGUCCUAAGGUAGCGAAAUUCCUUGUCGGGUAAGUUCCGACCUGCACGAAUGGCGUAAUGAUGGCCAGGCUGUCUCCACCCGAGACUCAGUGAAAUUGAACUCGCUGUGAAGAUGCAGUGUACCCGCGGCAAGACGGAAAGACCCCGUGAACCUUUACUAUAGCUUGACACUGAACAUUGAGCCUUGAUGUGUAGGAUAGGUGGGAGGCUUUGAAGUGUGGACGCCAGUCUGCAUGGAGCCGGCCUUGAAAUACCACCCUUUAAUGUUUGAUGUUCUAACGUUGACCCGUGAUCCGGGUUGCGGACAGUGUCUGGUGGGUAGUUUGACUGGGGCGGUCUCCUCCUAAAGAGUAACGGAGGAGCACGAAGGUUGGCUAAUCCUGGUCGGACAUCAGGAGGUUAGUGCAAUGGCAUAAGCCAGCUUGACUGCGAGCGUGACGGCGCGAGCAGGUGCGAAAGCAGGUCAUAGUGAUCCGGUGGUUCUGAAUGGAAGGGCCAUCGCUCAACGGAUAAAAGGUACUCCGGGGAUAACAGGCUGAUACCGCCCAAGAGUUCAUAUCGACGGCGGUGUUUGGCACCUCGAUGUCGGCUCAUCACAUCCUGGGGCUGAAGUAGGUCCCAAGGGUAUGGCUGUUCGCCAUUUAAAGUGGUACGCGAGCUGGGUUUAGAACGUCGUGAGACAGUUCGGUCCCUAUCUGCCGUGGGCGCUGGAGAACUGAGGGGGGCUGCUCCUAGUACGAGAGGACCGGAGUGGACGCAUCACUGGUGUUCGGGUUGUCAUGCCAAUGGCACUGCCCGGUAGCUAAAUGCGGAAGAGAUAAGUGCUGAAAGCAUCUAAGCACGAAACUUGCCCCGAGAUGAGUUCUCCCUGACUCCUUGAGAGUCCUGAAGGAACGUUGAAGACGACGACGUUGAUAGGCCGGGUGUGUAAGCGCAGCGAUGCGUUGAGCUAACCGGUACUAAUGAACCGUGAGGCUUAACCUUACAACGCCGAAG
RNAcentral lists this ribosomal RNA (2924 nucleotides) under Escherichia coli. Its description in RNAcentral is "bacterial LSU rRNA". It matches the Rfam family "Bacterial large subunit ribosomal RNA". The record is from RNAcentral. Lineage: Bacteria; Pseudomonadati; Pseudomonadota; Gammaproteobacteria; Enterobacterales; Enterobacteriaceae.